GCAAGUCGAACGAGAAAGGGAUUGCUUGCAAUCCUGAGUAGAGUGGCGCACGGGUGAGUAACACGUAGAUAAUCUACCUUCGAGACAGGAAUAACUAUUCGAAAGGAUAGCUAAUACCUGAUAAAGUAAGUUGUCAAAAGACAAGCUAUGAAAGACUGCCUCUUCAUGAAAGCAGUUGCUCGGAGAUGAGUUUGCGGACCAUUAGUUAGUUGGUGGGGUAAAGGCCUACCAAGACUGCGAUGGUUAGCUGGUCUGAGAGGAUGAUC
Molecule: ribosomal RNA, 266 nt
Filed under: uncultured bacterium
Lineage: Bacteria
Description: partial 16S ribosomal RNA
Rfam family: Bacterial small subunit ribosomal RNA
Source: RNAcentral